AUUCACUGUUUUCAUUAGCCAUGUCUCAAUCAAAGAUUUUCCAUAAUAUAGAAAACAUUAAAAGUCCUAAAUUCCUUGAUAUUUUCCUCGACUUGAUCAUCCAAUGAAACCUUUGAACUCCUCUCCAAAACCUAAUUUCUUUGCUAUCCAGACUACCAGCAAGCUGUUCCUCCGAUUCCAGCAUUUCUUUUAUGCUCAAAUGCAAA
Molecule: unclassified non-coding RNA, 206 nt
Filed under: Hevea brasiliensis (rubber tree)
Lineage: Eukaryota; Viridiplantae; Streptophyta; Magnoliopsida; Malpighiales; Euphorbiaceae
Source: RNAcentral